GCAUGGAUUUGCAUUUAUGGCAGGCUCGUCCCCAUGGGCCUCUCAUUGUGUCCCAUGCUAGAGCAAACUGUGGUUCCUAACCAUUGCCCAGCCUCCAUGCCUGAAGGCGACAGGCACUGAAGUGGGUCACACAGUG
RNAcentral lists this small nucleolar RNA (136 nucleotides) under Mus pahari (shrew mouse). RNAcentral describes it as "predicted gene, 25138 (MGP_PahariEiJ_G0034423.1)". It matches the Rfam family "Small nucleolar RNA SNORA42/SNORA80 family". Rfam says of the family: The members of this family belong to the H/ACA class of snoRNAs that guide the sites of modification of uridines to pseudouridines. Lineage: Eukaryota; Metazoa; Chordata; Mammalia; Rodentia; Muridae. The record is from RNAcentral.